GAUGAACGCUGGCGGCGUGCUUAACACAUGCAAGUCGAACGGAAAGGCCCUGAUUUUGUUGGGUGCUCGAGUGGCGAACGGGUGAGUAACACGUGUGUAACCUGCCCUUGACUUUGGGAUAACUUCAGGAAACUGCGGCUAAUACCGGAUAGGAGCUCCUGCUGCAUGGUGUUGGUUGGAAAGUUUCGGCGGUUGGGGAUGGACUCGCGGCUUAUCAGCUUGUUGGUGUGGUAGUGGUUUACCAAGGCUAUGACGGGUAGCCGGCCUGAGAGGGGGACCGGCCACAUUGGGACUGAGGUACGGACCAGACUCCUACGGGAGGCAGCAGUGGGGAAUAUGACACAAUGGGCGGAAGCGAGAGGCAGCAACGUCGGGUGCGGGAUAACGGGUUUCGGGGUGAAAACCGCUUUCGACUGUGACGAAGCGUUAGUGACGGUAAUGGAUAAAGAAGCACCGGCUAACUACGUG
Molecule: ribosomal RNA, 468 nt
Filed under: uncultured bacterium
Lineage: Bacteria
Description: partial 16S ribosomal RNA
Rfam family: Bacterial small subunit ribosomal RNA
Source: RNAcentral